GCGGGUAUAGUAUAAUGGCUAUUAUUACAGCUUUCCAAGCUGAAGAUGGGGGUUCGAUUCCCCCUACCCGCUCCA
Molecule: transfer RNA, 75 nt
Filed under: Patescibacteria group bacterium
Lineage: Bacteria
Description: tRNA-Gly
Rfam family: tRNA
About the family: Transfer RNA (tRNA) molecules are approximately 80 nucleotides in length.
Source: RNAcentral